RNAcentral lists this long non-coding RNA (1721 nucleotides) under Phasianus colchicus (ring-necked pheasant). RNAcentral's name for it is "lncRNA (ENSPCLG00000019353.1)". The record is from RNAcentral. Lineage: Eukaryota; Metazoa; Chordata; Aves; Galliformes; Phasianidae.
CCAAAAUCCGAAUCCGAGGACUCCGCACUGCAGAUGGGCGGCACCGAAACCCCUCCCCAAACCGCGGGGGGGGCCGGGAGCGGCGUCUGUGGGGACGCGGCCAGGAGACCCCAAAGGGGACGCGGCACCGAGCCCCCCCGGGACCCCCGCAGCCGCAUCCGCAGGCAGCGAUGGCGCAGCGUUGGUGGUGGGGACCCCAAAGACUGUGGCAGUGGGGGCCCUAAAUCCCACGGCAUCGGGAUCCACAAAGAGCGCGGCGUUGGGGUUCCCAAGGAUUACGACGACGGGGGCCCCAAAAACUGUGCCAUUGGGGACCCUACAGACCACGGCAUUUGGGUCCCCAAAGACCGUGGCAGUGGAGACCCCAAAGAUUGCGGCAAUGGGGUCCCCAAAAACUGUGGCACCUUUAAGUACUGUAGAGACAAUGGGGUUCCCAAGGAGCAUGGCACCGGGGUCCCCAAAGAGCGUGGCACUGGGGUCCCCAAAAACUCUGGCAUUUGGAUCCCCAAGGAGCGUGGCAUUGGGGUUCCCAAAGAGCGUGGCAUUGGGGUCCCCCAAAACUCUGGCAUUUGGAUCCCCAAGGAGCGUGGCAAUGGGGUUCCCAAAGAGCGCGGCAAUGGGGUCCCCAAAUACUGCGCCAUCGGGGGCCCUAAAGCCCAUGGCACGGGGGUCUCGCAGGAGCGUGGCAACGGGGACCCCAAAGAGUAUCAGAACGGGGUCCCCGAGGAGCGUGGCAAGAGGGUCCCCAAAAGCUGUGCCACCGGGGUGCCCCAACAGCGUUGCAUUUGGGACCUCAAGGAACGUGGCAUAGGGGACCCCGAAGAUCACGGCUGCGGGGAUCCCAAAAGCUGCGCCACUGGGGUCGUCGCCCCCCCCGGCGCGGUGCCGCCGGCUCAGGGGCUGCGGUACCUGGAGCUGCUCUGCCGGACGCUGGAGCGCCUGGCGCGGCUGCAGGAGGACAACCGGCAGCUCCGGCAGUGGGGCGGGGGGGGGGCCGGAUCUCUGCGCGCCCCACUGCGACCCCCGAGCGACGGAGAUGCGGAUUUGGGGUCGGGCAGAGCGGAGCCGUUCCGGACGCGUUCGUGUUCCGACAGCCACACGGCAGCUCACAGCCCCGCACGGCGCAGGGCGCAGUGGGGGCACUCGAUCAGCUCCCCCAGCCUGCUGGAUCCCACGGACGCCCCCCCGGCACCCCACAAGGUACGUGGGGCGCACUCACACACACUGGGGGCCGCGGGACCCCCCCACCCCACUGAUGGCUGCCUCUCCCCCCAGGACGGCCGCUCGCAUUGGGGUCGGGUGAAGGUGCUGCUCACCCGCCUCACCCGGCGCUCGCUGAGGGGUCGCUGACCCACGGCCGCCCCACAGCGCGGCGCCCCACAUGGUGCGGGGUCGGGCAGCGCUGCGCCACAGACCCACAGCUCAGCCUGCCCCCAACCUCAUCCCUAACCUCGACCCCUCGACCCUGACCUUAGCCCUAUUCCUCACCCCAUAAUCCUGACCCCAUAACCCUGACCCCAACCCUGACCCUCCAAACCCACCCCUAAUCCUAACCCUGACCCCCAAACCUGACCUUAACCCUAAUCCUGAGCCCCCAACCCCAACCCUGACCGUAACCCUAUUCUUCACCCCAUAACCCUGACCCCAUAACCCUGACCCCAACCCUGACCCCCCAAACCCACCCCUAAUCCUAACCCUGACCCCCAAACCUGACCUUAACC